RNAcentral lists this long non-coding RNA (8226 nucleotides) under Hordeum vulgare. RNAcentral describes it as "long non-coding RNA (HVUL_LNC011388)". Lineage: Eukaryota; Viridiplantae; Streptophyta; Magnoliopsida; Poales; Poaceae. The record is from RNAcentral.
UAUAGUCGGAACUUUCAGAUCCGACCCCUCAAACGCACGUGACAGGCUCGGUCAGUGACCUCAAGCCCCUCAACAUAUACGGAAUUGAUCCAUCGGGAUUCAUGCUGAUAACGUGUUAGAAGUAAAACUGACUGAGAGAAUCAGCUGUAUUUUUUAUUGAUGAGAUGAAUUAUUUAUACAUGCCCAAGGCCCCCCCCACAAAUGGAUGCCUUUACAAAGAGUCGGAAGCGAAACAACGCGAUCGGUCGAUUCAAUGAUAGUUUAGGAAAACCAUGGAUUACCCUCUAAUUAUUCUAAUUAAUUAAUUCUUAACAGUCCCAACACUAAUUAACAUGAGGAGGAGAGAUGUACUUGCGCUUUGGAUUUGAAUAAAGCAAAGAUGGAGGGAGCCUGAUGCCCGCGUCAACCGCGUACAAGACGGGCAUCUAUCGAAUGGGAGUGCAUAGUUAGAGCAUGAGGAAUGACUGCUACGCGUUGCAACUGUAGUAUAUAUAUCACUGGAAAUCUGGUUAACACUUUCCGUGUCCAAGUGGAGCUCCAAGUCAUCUGCAGGCUGUUCCGUUUGUGGUAAAGUUAGGUUGAUCUCUUGAACCAGCCCUUCAAUAGCAGCAGCGACUGAUCUUAUUCUCUUGACCUUGUUCUUCAUGAAGAACCUCCCUCCCUAGAGGGAUGUCUUAUUGCAGCGGGUCAGUAGGUUGAUCAAUGUCCAGUCCUCGGCAUGAUCUCAUGGCAAGGAAUUCGGCGAAUAUUCUUGAAGUUCCUUCAAUUUCUAGUUAAGUUCAUGACUGUAUAGUUGUGCGAGCCCAUCCGCCGAUUCAUGCCAUAGUCACGUCAAGGCAUUAGAGUAGGAGGGAGAUGUACGACGAAUCCAGAAGGAACAACGUGCAUGCCAUAAUUCUAGUUUUUCAUUGGUAAUUCCUGAUGCCUUCUAUGCCUAUAUUUAUCUAGUUAGAUCUCUAAUAUAUAUAUGAGUUACAACAAACAAUGCAUAGAACAGUAAAAGAUACUUCGAAGACAUCCUUUGUUUGGGGGAAGCCUUGCUCUUUUAUAAGAGACAUGGGUGUCCCGCUCCCCCAAUCAAUAAAUAGCUUGGACCCCGGGUAGGUCCAAGGUCACGCGAGCUUUAAGCAAGUGAUGCAUUCACUUACCUUUUAUUUUUGACAACAUAUAAUUUCACUGACCUUCUGACCUCUAUAAUGUGAUGAUGCACCUACAACACACAAUUUCGUAAAAAAGAGUUUAUGAAAACAAAUGCCAACCGCUAAUUCCAGUCCUCGGGGAGAAAAAGAAAGUGAAGUAAAGCUAAAGUCACAUGAUAAAUUACAAUGUGGCCAUUACAUCAAUGCUCACAACAAGAAAUCUUAAUUUGGAUGUCACGUGCAAGAUUUAUUUUGCUUUUAGGUAGUUCACGCCUUCCAGAUUGCAGCUAGUAUUUAAUUUAGAGGAAACAUUGUUUAUUCAAAGGACCUGUUGGAAACAUAAUUAUUUAUCGGGCCAAGGCUACCAUCUAGCACGGGAACAACCAUAUUGUUGUACUUAGAGAUGAAUUUGGCAUGAUUGAACAACACGAUCACCAAACCAAAGCCGUUAUCUUAUUAAGAGAUUCCAAGGACAUAAUGGUAAUUUCUAUGCCUACUAAUAAUCCACAUCAUUUUUUUAAAAGGAGGAAAGCCUCCAGCCUCUGCAUCAAAAUGGUGCAUGCAACCAUUUUAUCAAAUAAAGUAUGACAUCAAAGUCGGAGAUUCAAGUCUGGCUCACAAUCGGAGCGCAAAUAAAUAGAUAUAAAAAUGCCAUACUUGGCGAUAAAUAACACGCUACGAUGACUAGGCACCUAGCUUAUUAUUAGCUCGUCAUUGAAACGAAUCAAAGAUAACUCAUGCUAUCAUCUUCCAAUGACUGCACCCAAUAAUCAAAAGCUCCUUGGAUUUGCAUAUUCCAUUACUCUUUAAUGAAAGACAACUUGAGGAAAGGGACAAGACCUAAUUUCGCUACAAUGAGCUAGCCAUUGCCACAUGUAACUUCACAAACAAUGGAAGGCUCGGGGAAGAAGGUUUUUGUUAGUUGGGAAGAGAGGGAUUGCAUGCAUCGAUAAUUACAUUGAUCAUGUACUAGGCACAUACACAGGUACAAGGGGCACUAGUGCAGAAUCAGGCAAUAGUCUCAGUUCGUAAGGACCUUUAGUGUCGGUUCUGCAACCGGCACUAAUGGGUGGGGACUAAAGCCCCCCCCUUUAGUGCCGCUUCGUCACGAACCGGGACCAAAUGACCACCACGUGGCACGAGCCCGCGCCGGGGGGCUGGGGGUUACACCAACCGGGACUAAAAGGUUUAGGGGUUUUGGGUUUAUGGUUUAUUUUUCCUUUCAAUUUUGUAUUUUUCAUUUAAUUCUUUUUCAUUUUAAUCAUAUUUUACUCUACUACAUAUUGUACAUGUUAUGCAUAUAUAAAAAUAGAAUUUCUCGUAGAACCGAUCAUAUAUCACUAGUAGAAAAGAGGGCUUUGGUCCACUUGAUGAAAUGCCAUUAGUCCCGGUUCACUCACGAACCGGGACCCAUGUGAGCAUAGGUCCCGGUUCGUGAGGCCAGGGCGUUGGCCGGGCCUCGUAGGCCAUUUGUUCCGGUUUGUUUGUCACCUUCGGUCCCGAUUCCAAACACGAACCGGGACCAACGUACCUCGCCCCUGGCCCACAACCAGUAGUCCCGGUUUGUGGUCGGAACUGGGACCUUAGGUUGUUCUUUGGUCUCGGUUCCAACCACAAACCGGGACCAACGGUUGGCCUACAUAUACCCCCGUGAGCAUAGCAGUGCACUGUUCUGUUUUUUCGGCCAACCGUGGGAGAGCUUUGUGGUGCUCUAGCUCACCUCCUAUGCACAUGAGGUGUUCGAUGAAAUGCCCGAACCACACUUAAGCUUUCUCCUUUAGAAGCUCCUUGUCCAAGCUCCAUUUUCAUCAAGAUUUGUGUAGUUUUUAAUACACUUUGUUAUAUAACGCCCGCAGAUGAACCGUCAAUGGAUGUACGGUGACCAUCGCAUCUUCGAGUAUAUUAAUGGCCUGCAUAAUUUUCUCUAAGCGGCUAAGGAAAACAAGCGGAAUGGUUUUAUGCAUUGUCCAUGUACUGUCUGUGGGAAUACGAAGGAAUUCUCCGACUAUAAAACCCUUCACUUCCACCUGCUUCAGAAGGGUUUUAUGCCACACUAUAAUGUUUGGACCAAGCACGGAGAAAGAGGGGUUAUGAUGGAAGACAACGUAGAAGAAGAGGAUGAAGACAACUACCCGCCCCCUGUAUAUGGUGAUGCUGCAAUGGGGGAAGCUGAAGAUCAAGAGGAACCAGACGAUGUGCCCGAUGAUGAUCUUCGUCAGGUCAUUGUUGAUGCACAUAGAGAAUGCAAAAGUGAAAGGGAGAAGUUGAAGUUCGAUCUCAUGUUAUAGGAUCACAAAAAAGGGUUGUAUCCAAAUUGCGAAGAUGACAACACAAAGCUCGGUACCACACUGGAAUUGCUGCAACGGAAGGCAGACAAUGGUGUAUCUGACAAGGCAUUUAGUUCACUACUGAAAUUAAUGAAGAAGAAGCUUACAAAGGAUAACGAAUUGCCCGACAGUACGUACGAAGCGAAGAAGGUUCUAUGCCCUCUAGGAUUGGAGGUGCAGAAGAUACAUGCAUGCCCUAGUGACUGCAUCCUCUACCGCGGUGCGUACGAGGAUUUGAACGCAUGCCCGGUAUGCGGCGCAUUGCGGUAUAAGAUCAGAAAAGAUGACCCUGGUGAUGUUGAGGGCUAGCGCACCGGGAAAAUGGUUCCUGCCAAGGUGAUGUGGUAUGAUCCUAUAAUACCACGGUUGAAACAUCUGUUCAGAAACAAAAAGCAUGCCGAGUUGAUGCAAUGGCACAUAAAAGACCGUAAGAAAGACGGGAAGUUGAGAGCACCCGCUGACGGGUCAUAGUGGAGAAAGAUCGAGAGAAACUGGAGCGACUUUACACGUGACCCAAGGAACGUACGGUUUGGUUUAAGUGCAGAUGGCGUUAAUACUUUUGGGGAGCAGAGCAACAAGCAUAGCACAUGGCCUGUGACUCUAUGUAUGUAUAACCUUCCACCUUGGUUGUGCAUGAAGCGGAAGUUCAUUAUGAUGCCAGUGCUCAUCCGAGGCCCUAGGCAACCAGGCAAUGACAUUGAUGUGUACCUAAGGCCAUUAGUUGAUGAACUUUUACAGCUAUGGAAUGGAAAUGGUGUACGUGUGUGGGAUGAGAACGAACAGGAGGAAUUUGACUUACAUGCGUUGCUAUUUGUAACCAUCAACAAUUGGCCUGCUCUCAGUAACCUUUCAGGACAAAAAAACAAGGGAUACAACGCAUGCACACACUGUUUAGAUGACACCAACAGUAUAUAUUUGGACAAAUGCAGGAAGAAUGUGUACAUGGGGCAUCGUCGAUUUCUUCCGACCAACCAUCAAUGUCAAAAGAAAGGAAAGCAUUUCAAAGGUGAGGCAGAUCACCGGAAGAAGCCCGCCCUUCGUACUGGUGAUCACAUACUUGAUAUGGUCAAUGAUUUACAAGUAAUCUUUGGAAAGGGUCCUGGCGGACUAUCUGUUCUAAAGGACGAUGCGGGACACGCACCCAUGUGGAAGAAGAAAUCUAUAUUUUGGGACCUACCCUAUUGGAAAGACCUAGAGGUCCGCUCUGAAAUCGACGUGAUGCACGUGACUAAGAAUCUUUGCAUGAACCUUCUAGGCUUCUUGGGAGUGUAUGGGAAGACAAAAUAUACACUAGAGGCACGGGAGGAACAUCAACGUGCGCAUGAAAAAGAUGGCAUGCAUCCAGAGCAGUAUGAAGGUCCUGCCAGCUACGCUCUUACCAAAGAAGAGAACGAAUUCUUCUUUGAAUGCUUGCUCAGUAUGAAUGUCCCGUCUGGCUUCUCGUUGAAUAUAAAGGGAAUAAUAAAUAUGGCAGAGAAAAAGUUCCAGAACCUAAAGUCUCAUGACUGCAACGUGAUUAUUACAUAACUGUUUCCGGUUGCAUUGAGGGGGCUUCUACCGAAAAACGUUCGUUUAGCCAUUGUGAAGCUAUGUGCAUUCCUCAAUGCAAUAUCUCAAAAGGUGAUCGAUCCAGCAAUCCUGCCAAGGUUAAGGAGUGAUUUGGUGCAAUGUCUUGUUAGUUUUGAGCUGGUGUUCCCAACAUCCUUCUUCAAUAUCAUGACGCACGUCCUAGUUCAUCUAGUCGACGAGAUUGUCGUUCUGGGCCGUGUAUUUCUACACAAUAUGUUCCCCUUUGAGAGGUUCAUGGGAGUCUUAAAGAAAUAUGUUCGUAACCGCGCUAAGCCAGAAGGAAGCAUCUCCAUGGGCCAUCAAACAGAGGAUGUCAUUCGAUUUUGUGUUGACUUCAUUCCUGACCUUAAGAAGAUUGGACUCCCUCAAUCGCAGUAUGAGGGGAGACUGACUAGAAAAGGCACACUAGGAGUGGAGUCAAUAAUGUGUACAGACGGGCAUUCUUGGUCUCAAGCAUACUACACAGUUCUAUAGAAUUCUACCUUGGUGACCCCGUAUGUCGAUGAACACAAGAAUAUUCUGAGCUCCAUACGCUCGGAGCAGUGUGACGACUGGAUUACAUUUGAACACAUCAGGACUUUCAGCAGUUGGUUGCAAAAAUGUCUCAUAUGUGACAACAUUGUUUCUGAUGAGUUGUACUCGUUGGCCAGGGGACCAUCUUCGACUGUAUUGACUUACCAAGGGUACGAGAUAAAUGGGAAUACAUUUUACACGAUCACUGCUACGGCAACAAAAGACCUUCCCUGACAAUGGCGCCAGGAAUCCUUUUGCUAUGGGCUACGCCUAUAGGGACUUCCUUGGCAAAUAUGCAAAGGAUUCCCCCUCGGCCUUGGAGCCUUGCGUUGGUGUUCCUUUGAAGAGGAAAGGGUGAUGUAGCACUGCGGCAGUAAGUAUUUCCCUCGGUUUGAGAACCAAGGUAUCGAUCGAGUAGGAGGAGAGCGUUAAGUCACAAGUACCUGCACAAACAGAAAGAGCUUGCACCCAAUGCUAUGAAGGGGUUGUCAAUCCCUUAUAGAUUGUUUGCAGAGUGAGAAUUGAAAGCAAAAAGGAAACAAAACAAAGUGAAAGUGAAAGUGGAGACGAUAGUUGUGAAUAGACCCGGGGGCCGUAGUGUUCACUAGUGGCUUCUCUCAUGAAAGCAAGUAGACGGUGGGUGAACGAAUUACUAUCGAGCAAUUGAUAUAACCGUGCAAAGUCAUGACGUUAUCUAUGGCAAUGAUCAUAUCUAUAUGCAUCACGUCCAAAACAAGUAGACCGAUACUUUCUGUAUCUACUACUUAUUACUCCACACGUCGACCGCUAUCCAGCAUGCAUCUAGUGUAUUGAGUGUUGGAAAUAUGCCCUAGAGGCAAUAAUAAAAUGGUUAUUAUCAUAUUUCCUUGUUCAUGAUAAUCGUCUAUUGUUCAUGCUAUAAUUGUAUUAAGAGGAAACAGUAAUACAUGUGUGAAUAAAUAGAUCACAAUGUGUCCCUAGCAAGCCUCUAGUUGGCUAGCUCGUUAGUCAAUAGAUGAUCAUGGUUUUCUGAUCAUGGGCAUUAGAUGUCAUUGAUAACGGGAUCACAUCAUUAGGAGAAUGAUGUGAUGGACAAGACUCAAUCCUAAGCAUAGCACUAGAUCGUAUUGUUCGUAUGCUAAAGCUUUUCUAAUGUCAAGUAUCUUUUCCUUCGACCGUGAGAUUGUGCAACUCCCGGAUACCGUAGGAGUGCUUUGGGUGUAUCAAACGUCACAACGUAACUGGGUAACUAGCUAUAAAGGUGCACUACGGGUGCCUCCGAAAAUGUCUGUUGGGUUGGUACGAAUCGAGAUCGGGAUUUGUCACUCCGUGUGACCGAGAGGUAUCUCUGGGCCCACUCGGUAGAACAUCAUCAGAGCUUGACAGUUUUUUACUGAAAAAUUAGAGCUAACACUAACAUAUAUAUGCAUGUUUUCAUAUGACCCAGGUUGGUUCCCAUGAAGCUCCGCCACUGCAUGAGUACAAACUAGCUUAGUUGGCGUCGACCAAUACUGGAUGAUGUAUUGCCGCAGUCUCGUCUUCAGUAAACUUUGUAUUGCCUUUGAUGUGAUGAUUACACGGGGCUAUACGUGAGUAUAUAUAGCAGGUAGGAUUGCCUAUUCGGUUUGAAGUUCUAAUCCCACUAUUACUAGAAAUGCUGAUCUAUGUCCGACUAGAACGCAACAUCAGGGGCAGAAUCAGCAUACUGUUACGAAUAGGGGUAAGUUGGCUUGAGUGGUGUACUUAAAGGUUUUUUAUACUUUGUAAGAAAAUAUUACAAAGACUAUUGUCACUACACCUAGGGCUAUAGCCCUAUUUGCCCUAUGUUUAUUUUCGCGAGUGCACAACACCCACGUCGUGGUUAGUCCUACAUAUUUCCGGACGGAAACUUUUAAAACUUAGAUGUAUAUACAUCUUAUAUGUAAAAAAAUAGUAAUUCAACAAAAUAUAAAAAAUAAAAAUAUUUUUGAAAUAAAGUUGACCCAACACUAAUUAACAUGAGGUGGAGAGAUUUACUUGCGCUAUGCCCCUGUUAGAAGUGAAUUGAUUGAGAGAAUCAACUGUAUUCUUUAUUGAUAAGAUGAACUAUUUAUACAUGCCCAAGGGGCCCCACGAAUGGCCCCACGACGGUUGAUUAAAUGACGGUUUAGGAAAAUCAGCCCAUGAAUGGAUGCCUUUACAAAGAGUCAGAAGUGAAACAACGCGACGGUUGAUUAAAUGACGGUUUAGAAAAAUCAUAGAUUACCCUACAAUUAUUCUAAUUAAUUAAUUCUUAACAGUCCCAUCACUAAUUAACAUGAGGAGGAGAGAUGUACUUGCACUUUGGAUUUGAAUAAAGCAAAGAUGGAGGGAGCCUGAUGCCGGCGUCAACCACGUACAGGUGGGGCAUCUAUCGAAUGGGAGUGGAUAGGUAGAGCAGGAGGAAUGACUGCCUCGUCAGUCUUUGGCUCAGCUACCUGUUGCAACUGAACUGUAAAGCUGGUUGACACCUUCAGUGUCCAAGUGCUCCAAGUCAGUUGCCGGCUGUUCCUUCUGUGCUAAAGUUCGGUUGAUCUCUUGAACAAGCCCCCUUCAAUAGCAGCAUCAACCGAACUGAUUCUCUUACAUUGUUCUUCAUGAAGAACCUCCCUCCCUGGAGGGAUGUCCUGUUGCAGCGGGUCAGUAGGUUGAUCAAUGUCCAGUCCUCGGCAUGAUCUCAU